GGAAAUGGUUUCUCAAGGCUGCAAUCUACCAUGAGAAUGACACCGAAGUUGGCUGCCAUAUAUGUCCAGGAAAGAACCUGACCGAAUUAGGAUUUGUUUAUGCUUACAACAAAACCCUCCAUUAUGUCAUGGACUUCAUUGCAAACUCAAAGCAUAAGGGGUUGAUCUUUUUCAGGACAUCCACGCCGGAUCAUUUUGAGAACGGGGAAUGGCAUAAUGGAGGGAGUUGUCCGAAGACAACCCCGGCUAAAGAAGGAGAAGUUGAAAUAAAGGACUUGAGCCGAAUUCUACGUAACGUUGAAUUAGAAGAGUUUGAGAAGGCAGCUGCAAA
This 331-nucleotide long non-coding RNA is filed under the name Gossypium barbadense (sea-island cotton). Its description in RNAcentral is "long non-coding RNA (GBAR_LNC014939)". Lineage: Eukaryota; Viridiplantae; Streptophyta; Magnoliopsida; Malvales; Malvaceae. The record is from RNAcentral.